AUCUUGAAAACGGAAAAUAAAAACAGCAGACCUAUGAAGGUCAAAGGGGAAGUUAAGAAAAGCUGUAUCGAUUGUUGAGAUCUGGCGACUUGCUUAAAUUUCAUCAGCCUCACUUCUAUGGACUCUCAGGCCUCACGUGUACCAGCUCUCUGCUCUCCUUUGCCUUGGGACGUUCCAUCCCUGGAAGUUUCCCUGCCCACAUCUUUGUAGAGAGUCCAUUCUCCAAGCUUCAGUGUGUCAUCUGUUAGGACUAUGACCCACCUGGUACAUUACCUCAGGGCAUUCAUUUCAGGCUCCUUCUAAGUGGUCAAGGAUCUUGGAAGCAGAGGGAUCUACAGAAGUGCUUGCAACAGUUUCAGCCUCAUCCAGCAUCAGAGACAAAAAUCUUUUCUGGAAUGAGUCUUCUGUCAGCCUAACAAGCAUAGCAAGAAGAUAUAGCCCCACAACCACUUUAUGCACAUAGUUAGAAGCAUAAAAUCUCAUGGAAAGAGACCGAUUAUCCACAGAAGAUGUUGUCUUGCCAUUUCUCUCAUGUUAGAGGUAAACCUCAGGUUCUCCUCCUGCCUUUUGCUAAGUAUAUGUCUUGAUGACAAGCCUUCUGCUAAUGAGCUGUGUUUCUGGACCGAUCAUGGUAGAAGUCAAUUGAAGUGUCCCUCACUUGGGGUUUCUUAAGGCUGCACUGAUGAGGAAACUGAAACAGAAAAUCCAGAGUAAAUUCCACCAGGCCACACAGCAAGGUCUGAUAGAGCCAGGAGAGACUUUAUGAAAUCCAGACUCUCACACUAAUGCUCUAUCAGCUAGACCUCCAUGUGAGUCUCCCCAAUGUAGGUAGGAAGCACUUUCCC
Molecule: long non-coding RNA, 845 nt
Filed under: Pongo abelii (Sumatran orangutan)
Lineage: Eukaryota; Metazoa; Chordata; Mammalia; Primates; Hominidae
Description: lincRNA
Source: RNAcentral